This 253-nucleotide ribosomal RNA is filed under the name uncultured bacterium. RNAcentral's name for it is "partial 16S ribosomal RNA". It matches the Rfam family "Bacterial small subunit ribosomal RNA", at positions 524 to 776 of the family's 1533-position model. The record is from RNAcentral.
UACGUAGGUGGCAAGCGUUGUCCGGAUUUAUUGGGCGUAAAGGGCGCGCAGGCGGCCCGGCGCGUCCGCGGUGAAAGCUCCCGGCUCAACUGGGAGAGGUCCGCGGAAACGGUCGGGCUCGAGCAAGGUAGGGGGUCGUGGAAUUCCCGGUGUAGUGGUGGAAUGCGUAGAGAUCGGGAGGAACACCAGUGGCGAAGGCGGCGACCUGGACCUGUGCUGACGCUGAGGCGCGAAAGCGUGGGGAGCGAUCCGG